This 72-nucleotide transfer RNA is filed under the name Winmispira thermophila DSM 6192. RNAcentral's name for it is "tRNA-His (GTG) (tRNA-His-GTG-1-1)". It matches the Rfam family "tRNA". Rfam says of the family: Transfer RNA (tRNA) molecules are approximately 80 nucleotides in length. Their secondary structure includes four short double-helical elements and three loops (D, anti-codon, and T loops). Further hydrogen bonds mediate the characteristic L-shaped molecular structure. tRNAs have two regions of fundamental functional importance: the anti-codon, which is responsible for specific mRNA codon recognition, and the 3' end, to which the tRNAs corresponding amino acid is attached (by aminoacyl-tRNA synthetases). tRNAs cope with the degeneracy of the genetic code in two manners: having more than one tRNA (with a specific anti-codon) for a particular amino acid; and 'wobble' base-pairing, i.e. permitting non-standard base-pairing at the 3rd anti-codon position. Lineage: Bacteria; Pseudomonadati; Spirochaetota; Spirochaetia; Winmispirales; Winmispiraceae. RNAcentral also lists the same sequence under 1 other name. The record is from RNAcentral.
GUGGGUGUAGUUCAGUGGUAGAACACCAGACUGUGGAUCUGGGUGUCGCGGGUUCAAGUCCCGUCAUCCACC